RNAcentral lists this ribosomal RNA (585 nucleotides) under Penicillium sp. Its description in RNAcentral is "LSU rRNA". It matches the Rfam family "Eukaryotic large subunit ribosomal RNA", at positions 66 to 668 of the family's 3401-position model. The record is from RNAcentral. Lineage: Eukaryota; Fungi; Ascomycota; Eurotiomycetes; Eurotiales; Aspergillaceae.
CCUCGGGAAACGGCCCCACGGCGAGUGAGCGGCAAGAGCUCAAAUUUGAAAGCUGGCUCCUUCGGGGUCCGCAUUGUAAUUUGCAGAGGAUGCUUCGGGAGCGGUCCCCAUCUAAGUGCCCUGGAACGGGACGUCAUAGAGGGUGAGAAUCCCGUAUGGGAUGGGGUGUCCGCGCCCAUGUGAAGCUCCUUCGACGAGUCGAGUUGUUUGGGAAUGCAGCUCUAAAUGGGUGGUAAAUUUCAUCUAAAGCUAAAUAUUGGCCGGAGACCGAUAGCGCACAAGUAGAGUGAUCGAAAGAUGAAAAGCACUUUGAAAAGAGAGUUAAAAAGCACGUGAAAUUGUUGAAAGGGAAGCGCUUGCGAUCAGACUCGCUCGCGGGGUUCAGCCGGCAUUCGUGCCGGUGUACUUCCCCGCGGGCGGGCCAGCGUCGGUUUGGGCGGUCGGUCAAAGGCCCUCGGAAGGUAACGCCCCCUCGGGGGCGUCUUAUAGCCGAGGGUGCAAUGCGACCUGCCUGGACCGAGGAACGCGCUUCGGCUCGGACGCUGGCAUAAUGGUCGUAAGCGACCCGUCUUGAAACACGGACCA